CGAAGGUUUCGGCCUUAGUGGCGGACGGGUGAGUAACGCGUAGGAAUCUAUCCAUGGGUGGGGGAUAACUCCGGGAAACUGGAGCUAAUACCGCAUGAUACCUGAGGGUCAAAGGCGCAAGUCGCCUGUGGAGGAGCCCUGCGUUUGAUUAGCUUGUUGGUGGGGUAAUGGCCUACCAAGGCGAUGAUCAAUAGCUGGUCUGAGAGGAUGAUCAGCCACACUGGGACUGAGACACGGCCCAG
Molecule: ribosomal RNA, 242 nt
Filed under: uncultured bacterium
Lineage: Bacteria
Description: partial 16S ribosomal RNA
Rfam family: Bacterial small subunit ribosomal RNA
Source: RNAcentral